Molecule: ribosomal RNA, 488 nt
Filed under: uncultured bacterium
Lineage: Bacteria
Description: partial 16S ribosomal RNA
Rfam family: Bacterial small subunit ribosomal RNA
Source: RNAcentral
UGAACGCUGGCGGCAGGCCUACCACAUGCAAGUCGAACGGUAACAGGAAACAGCUUGCUGUUUCGCUGACGAGUGGCGGACGGGUGAGUAAUGUCUGGGAAACUGCCUGAUGGAGGGGGAUAACUACUGGAAACGGUAGCUAAUACCGCAUAACGUCGCAAGACCAAAGAGGGGGACCUUCGGGCCUCUUGCCAUCGGAUGUGCCCAGAUGGGAUUAGCUAGUAGGUGGGGUAACGGCUCACCUAGGCGACGAUCCCUAGCUGGUCUGAGAGGAUGACCAGCCACACUGGAACUGAGACACGGUCCAGACUCCUACGGGAGGCAGCAGUGGGGAAUAUUGCACAAUGGGCGCAAGCCUGAUGCAGCCAUGCCGCGUGUAUGAAGAAGGCCUUCGGGUUGUAAAGUACUUUCAGCGGGGAGGAAGGGAGUAAAGUUAAUACCUUUACUCAUUGACGUUACCCGCAGAAGAAGCACCGGCUAACUCCGUG